GGGCCUUUAUGCUAAUUGGAUAAACUCAGGGCCUUCUAAGCCCUCAUUCUUGGUUCGAAUCCAAGGAGGCCUA
This 73-nucleotide transfer RNA is filed under the name Crassvirales sp. RNAcentral describes it as "tRNA-Arg". It matches the Rfam family "tRNA". From Rfam's summary of the family: Transfer RNA (tRNA) molecules are approximately 80 nucleotides in length. Their secondary structure includes four short double-helical elements and three loops (D, anti-codon, and T loops). The record is from RNAcentral. RNAcentral also lists the same sequence under 1 other name. Lineage: Duplodnaviria; Heunggongvirae; Uroviricota; Caudoviricetes; Crassvirales.